RNAcentral lists this ribosomal RNA (496 nucleotides) under uncultured bacterium. Its description in RNAcentral is "partial 16S ribosomal RNA". It matches the Rfam family "Bacterial small subunit ribosomal RNA", at positions 29 to 507 of the family's 1533-position model. The record is from RNAcentral.
AUGCGCGCUGGCGGCGUGCCUAAUACAUGCAAGUCGCGCGAACGGACGAGAAGCUUGCUUCUCUGAUGUUAGCGGCGGACGGGUGAGUAACACGUGGAUAACCUACCUAUAAGACUGGGAUAACUUCGGGAAACCGGAGCUAAUACCGGAUAAUAUUUUGAACCGCAUGGUUCAAAAGUGAAAGACGGUCUUGCUGUCACUUAUAGAUGGAUCCGCGCUGCAUUAGCUAGUUGGUAAGGUAACGGCUUACCAAGGCAACGAUGCAUAGCCGACCUGAGGGGGUGAUCGGCCACACUGGAACUGAGACACGGUCCAGACUCCUACGGGAGGCAGCAGUAGGGAAUCUUCCGCAAUGGGCGAAAGCCUGACGGAGCAACGCCGCGUGAGUGAUGAAGGUCUUCGGAUCGUAAAACUCUGUUAUUAGGGAAGAACAUAUGUGUAAGUAACUGUGCACAUCUUGACGGUACCUAAUCAGAAAGCCACGGCUAACUACGUG